RNAcentral lists this unclassified non-coding RNA (232 nucleotides) under Filobasidium chernovii. RNAcentral's name for it is "partial internal transcribed spacer region". The stretch from base 1 to 48 matches the Rfam family "Eukaryotic small subunit ribosomal RNA", at positions 1784 to 1831 of the family's 1831-position model. The record is from RNAcentral. Lineage: Eukaryota; Fungi; Basidiomycota; Tremellomycetes; Filobasidiales; Filobasidiaceae.
AAAAGUCGUAACAAGGUUUCCGUAGGUGAACCUGCGGAAGGAUCAUUAUUGAAUUCAAAUCAUCUGUGGCUUCGGUCCGGAUGUGCCAACAGGUAACACUGUUGGUAAUUCUAUCCAUAACACCUGUGAACUGUUGGAUGCUUGCAUCCACUUUUAUACUAAACAUUAUUGUAACAAAUGUAGUCUUAUUAUAACAUAAUAAAACUUUUAACAACGGAUCUCUUGGCUCUCG